AACGAACGCUGGCGGCAGGCUUAACACAUGCAAGUCGAGCGCCUCGCAAGAGGAGCGGCAGACGGGUGAGUAACACGUGGGAAUCUACCCAUCCCUGCGGAACAACUCCGGGAAACUGGAGCUAAUACCGCAUACGCCCUACGGGGAAAGAUUUAUCGGGGAUGGAUGAGCCCGCGUUGGAUUAGCUAGUUGGUGGGGUA
Molecule: ribosomal RNA, 200 nt
Filed under: uncultured bacterium
Lineage: Bacteria
Description: partial 16S ribosomal RNA
Rfam family: Bacterial small subunit ribosomal RNA
Source: RNAcentral